RNAcentral lists this ribosomal RNA (332 nucleotides) under uncultured bacterium. RNAcentral describes it as "bacterial SSU rRNA". It matches the Rfam family "Bacterial small subunit ribosomal RNA", at positions 568 to 898 of the family's 1533-position model. The record is from RNAcentral.
CUCGUAGGCGGCCAACUAAGUCGGACGUGAAAUCCCUCGGCUUAACCGGGGAACUGCGUCUGAUACUGGAUGGCUCGAAUCCGGGAGAGGGAUGCGGAAUUCCAGGUGUAGCGGUGAAAUGCGUAGAUAUCUGGAGGAACACCGGUGGCGAAGGCGGCAUCCUGGACCGGCAUUGACGCUGAGGAGCGAAAGCCAGGGGAGCAAACGGGAUUAGAUACCCCGGUAGUCCUGGCCCUAAACGAUGAAUGCUUGGUGUGGCGGGUAUCGAUCCCUGCCGUGCCGAAGCUAACGCGAUAAGCAUUCCGCCUGGGGAGUACGGUCGCAAGGCUGAA